Misgurnus anguillicaudatus (oriental weatherfish) is the source of this 1455-nucleotide non-coding RNA. The record is from RefSeq and is a predicted model, not a curated record. Lineage: Eukaryota; Metazoa; Chordata; Actinopteri; Cypriniformes; Cobitidae.
UGGUUCUUCAAAGGUUCUGAAACGAUGGUAAAGGUUCUAUAUAGAACCAUAGCUUACUGAAGAACCCUUUUUCCCCAAAAUGGUUCUUUGUCUUGUCAAAAGGUUCUUUAUUUCCCUCCUUUUUUAUUUUAAAUUUAGUCAGUUAUUAGUCCUGAUUAUUUUCACCUGUGAAAGCCCUGAAUCAUCAGUCCUGCUGAACCGCCUGCAGACUAACAUCACAAACAGGUAAGAGAGGAAAAUAAUCAUCAUUUACUGUUAAAAACAUUAUGAAAAUUGAAGUUUUGUGUGUUCUUAUUGUAAUUUAUUUAUUUUAUAGCAGGUAAACGUUAUACCGUAAGGUUCAUUCCCUUUAUAGCAGAGUUUUCGUAUGUGAGGUAAUCUUGUUUUAAGGCACUGCGUUUGACCGAUUGAUAUGAGAGACACAUCCUGUUUUUAAAGGUACACUUUAUACCGUAAGCUUCAUUCUCUUUAUAGCAGAGUUUUCGUAUGUGAGGUAAUCUUGCUGGGAGUGAAGGCAGUGCGUAUGACCACUUGAUAUGAGAGACACUUCCUGUUUUUAAAGGUAAACUUUAUACUGUAAGCUCCAUUCCCUUUAUAACAGAGUUUUCGUGAGGUAAUCUGUCUUAUGCUGGGAGUGAAGGCAGUGCGUAUGAUCACUUGAUAUGAGAGACACAUCCUGUUUUUAAAGGUGGAUCAUGAGUGAAGCUCUGAUGGUCGGCCAUUGACUUGAUAACAGUGGUUUAUGUUUAUUCAAUUUAUGAAUAAAUCUCUCGCCAACCAUUCACCUAUUUACUGACAAAACAGAUCCAAAUCUUGUACAGCCUGAUGCUCAUCCUUCUAUGAUGAUGACCACUGCAAGGUGAUGGGAAUCUGUGGUUCUCACAGCCUGCGUCUCAAGAUCAACAUGACAACAGCAGUCAUCUCUUAUCUUACUCUUAUCUGACUAAAUGUUCAACCUCAUUGUCACAAAACAAAGAAUAUUGGAUGGAGUAUGUACUGUACAAUGAUCCAGCAAACAAAAUAAUUUGGACUUUUUUGGCGAGAUUCUACAAACAUUGACACAAUCCUAUUGACUUUUAUAUUUACAGUUAGUAAUGUAUUAUUAACAUCCCAUUAUUCUGUAUUCUAUGCCAUUUAUCUGUUUGUGCUAAAGUGUUUACAUCUGAAUGUAAUGUCAUAAUAUGUUAAAAUUCAGUAUUUAUUAUCAUUUGCCUGUUUUGAUGUCGCAUAUGUCAUGAUUUUAUUGAUUUCAUGUUAUUGUUGUCUAUUUAGAAUGAUUGUCUUUGCCAAAUUUUAUUGUUCAUUUAUUUAAUUUUGGAGCUGUCAUUUAACAUCCAUAUCUUAUUUGAGUAGUGAUUUGUUAUAUUUGCAUAAUAAUUCAUAUAUUUAUUUUGAUUGUGAUUUUAUUGCACAUAUUUGUUAUUGUAUGAUAUCUCAUGUAAUGAAAAAGUGAAA